Molecule: ribosomal RNA, 492 nt
Filed under: uncultured bacterium
Lineage: Bacteria
Description: partial 16S ribosomal RNA
Rfam family: Bacterial small subunit ribosomal RNA
Source: RNAcentral
AGUGAACGCUGGCGGUAGGCCUAACACAUGCAAGUCGAACGGCAGCACAGUAAGAGCUUGCUCUUACGGGUGGCGAGUGGCGGACGGGUGAGGAAUACAUCGGAAUCUACUUUUUCGUGGGGGAUAACGUAGGGAAACUUACGCUAAUACCGCAUACGACCUACGGGUGAAAGCAGGGGAUCUUCGGACCUUGCGCGAUUGAAUGAGCCGAUGUCGGAUUAGCUAGUUGGCGGGGUAAAGGCCCACCAAGGCGACGAUCCGUAGCUGGUCUGAGAGGAUGAAUAGCCAAACUGGAACUGAGACACGGUCCAGACUCCUACGGGAAGCCGCAGUGGGGAAUAUUGGACAAUGGGCGCAAGCCUGAUCCAGCCAUACCGCGUGGGUGAAGAAGGCCUUCGGGUUGUAAAGCCCUUUUGUUGGGAAAGAAAAGCAGCAGGUUAAUACCCCGCUGUUCUGACGGUACCCAAAGAAUAAGCACCGGCUAACUUCGUG